AGACAUGUUUUUUUUGCGGUUAUUACGUGAACGAAACACGAAAACAAUUAUUAUUGUACGAUACACACCGAAGAUACGGAAGAUAUUUUAUUAUGUUUAUAUCAUUUUUACGACCGACGAAACGACUCCCGGCGCGGCCAUUACACGUCGAGAGGUAAUAUCCACUAUCUUAUACUUAUAUUAUUAUAUAAAUCACGAAAACACAAAGUCAACGAGCAGCUCGGUCUUGGAAAAUCUAUCGAGGCGAACUCGUAUAUACCUAGUCCUCUUAUUUGUCAAACGGGUCGAAUAGGUAGGUACCUGCGUGUCGUGUGCGUGGACGGAAUCGUUGUAAUUACUUUUUUUUCGUAAUCUUUUAUCAUAAUAUCAUUAUACAGUAACGGUUUUCGAAAA
Molecule: non-coding RNA, 393 nt
Organism: Cinara cedri
Lineage: Eukaryota; Metazoa; Arthropoda; Insecta; Hemiptera; Aphididae
Source: the annotation of a GenBank genome assembly